RNAcentral lists this ribosomal RNA (834 nucleotides) under Janibacter sp. PLB119. RNAcentral describes it as "bacterial SSU rRNA". It matches the Rfam family "Bacterial small subunit ribosomal RNA", at positions 658 to 1490 of the family's 1533-position model. The record is from RNAcentral. Lineage: Bacteria; Bacillati; Actinomycetota; Actinomycetes; Micrococcales; Intrasporangiaceae.
AGACUGGAAUUCCUGGUGUAGCGGUGAAAUGCGCAGAUAUCAGGAGGAACACCGAUGGCGAAGGCAGGUCUCUGGGCCACUACUGACGCUGAGAAGCGAAAGCAUGGGGAGCGAACAGGAUUAGAUACCCUGGUAGUCCAUGCCGUAAACGUUGGGCGCUAGGUGUGGGACUCAUUCCACGAGUUCCGUGCCGCAGCUAACGCAUUAAGCGCCCCGCCUGGGGAGUACGGCCGCAAGGCUAAAACUCAAAGGAAUUGACGGGGGCCCGCACAAGCGGCGGAGCAUGCGGAUUAAUUCGAUGCAACGCGAAGAACCUUACCAAGGCUUGACAUAUACCGGAAACAUCCAGAGAUGGGUGCCCCUUUUGGUCGGUAUACAGGUGGUGCAUGGUUGUCGUCAGCUCGUGUCGUGAGAUGUUGGGUUAAGUCCCGCAACGAGCGCAACCCUCGUUCUAUGUUGCCAGCACGUGAUGGUGGGGACUCAUAGGAGACUGCCGGGGUCAACUCGGAGGAAGGUGGGGAUGACGUCAAAUCAUCAUGCCCCUUAUGUCUUGGGCUUCACGCAUGCUACAAUGGCCGGUACAAAGGGCUGCGAUAUCGCAAGGUGGAGCGAAUCCCAAAAAACCGGUCUCAGUUCGGAUUGGGGUCUGCAACUCGACCCCAUGAAGUCGGAGUCGCUAGUAAUCGCAGAUCAGCAACGCUGCGGUGAAUACGUUCCCGGGCCUUGUACACACCGCCCGUCAAGUCACGAAAGUCGGUAACACCCGAAGCCGGUGGCCCAACCCUUGUGGGGGGAGCCGUCGAAGGUGGGACUGGUGAUUGGGACUAAGUCGUA